GACGUUGGGCCAUUGCCAGUAUU
RNAcentral lists this non-coding RNA (23 nucleotides) under Arabidopsis thaliana (thale cress). The record is from RNAcentral. Lineage: Eukaryota; Viridiplantae; Streptophyta; Magnoliopsida; Brassicales; Brassicaceae.